GUACUUGCUUCGGCAGCACAUAUCCUAAAAUUGGAACAAUACAGAGAAGAUUGGCAUGGCCCCUGUGCAAGGAUGAUACAUAAAUUCAUAAAGUGUUACAUAUUUUA
Suncus etruscus (white-toothed pygmy shrew) is the source of this 107-nucleotide small nuclear RNA. The record is from RefSeq and is a predicted model, not a curated record. NCBI's taxonomy places the organism in Eukaryota, Metazoa, Chordata, Mammalia, Eulipotyphla, Soricidae.